RNAcentral lists this ribosomal RNA (264 nucleotides) under uncultured bacterium. RNAcentral describes it as "partial 16S ribosomal RNA". It matches the Rfam family "Bacterial small subunit ribosomal RNA", at positions 77 to 339 of the family's 1533-position model. The record is from RNAcentral.
AGCUUGCUCUUAUGGGUGGCGAGUGGCGAACGGGUGAGUAACGCGUAGGAAUAUACCUUAAAGAGGGGGGAUAACUUGAGGAAACUCAAGCUAAUACCGCAUAUGCUCUGAGGAGCGAAGCUGGGGACCUUUGGGCCUGGCGCUUUAAGAAUAGCCUGCGUCUGAUUAGCUAGUUGGUGGGGUAAAGGCCUACCAAGGCGAUGAUCAGUAGCUGGUCUGAGAGGAUGGACAGCCACACUGGGACUGAGACACGGCCCAGACUCC